AAUCUCCCACUCCGGACUUGCAGUACAUGGUAUGGAGUAUGCAUUUGGAGCCCAUGAGUACCCAACAAGUGGAGUGUUUGAGGUGGUCGCC
Telopea speciosissima is the source of this 91-nucleotide long non-coding RNA. RefSeq lists it as uncharacterized. The record is from RefSeq and is a predicted model, not a curated record. Lineage: Eukaryota; Viridiplantae; Streptophyta; Magnoliopsida; Proteales; Proteaceae. The transcript has 3 exons.